Molecule: small nuclear RNA, 141 nt
Filed under: Cephalotus follicularis
Lineage: Eukaryota; Viridiplantae; Streptophyta; Magnoliopsida; Oxalidales; Cephalotaceae
Description: U4 spliceosomal RNA
Rfam family: U4 spliceosomal RNA
About the family: U4 small nuclear RNA (U4 snRNA) is a component of the major U2-dependent spliceosome. The structure of U4 snRNA from yeast and human has been reported. U4 snRNA presents a k-turn RNA motif in the 5p-SL related to recognition of Snu13 protein.
Source: Rfam by way of RNAcentral
AUUAUUGCUCUUGGGGCAAUGACGCAGUUAGUAAUGUACUAACCGAGACGCGUUUAUUGCUGGUUGAAAAUUAUUUUUAAACCUAUUUUUCGGUCUGAAUUAUGUUUAGGCCGUAGAGAAUUUCUGGAAGAGUCUCUCACA